AUAUGUUUCGGAUGAGUAGACCUCUUAUUGAAAAGUUGCAUGACUUGUUGAUUUCAUCAUAUGGACUGAAGACAACUGAAAAUAUGUGUUCUUUGGAAGCACUUUGUAUGUUUUUAUGGACUAUUGGUGCCCCUCAAUCUGUCGUUCAAGUAAAAAAUAGAUUUCAGAGGUCAAAAGAAACUAUUAGUAGAAAGUUCUGAGAAGUGUUGAAUUGCAUAUUUCUCCUAUCAAAAGAUAUUGUGAAGCCAAGAGAUCCUCAAUUUACUGAUGUCCAUGAAAGAUUACUAGGCGACCGAUUUCACCCUCAUUUCAAUGAUUGUAUUGGUGCAAUUGAUGGAACUCAUAUAAGGGUAGUUGUGCCAUCCUCUAAAUUGGUUCAACAUGUUGGUCGAUAUGGAUAUCCCACCCAAAAUGUACUGGCCAUAUGUGAUUUCGACAUGAGGUUCACUUUUAUUGUUGCGGGAUGGCCGGGUUCUGCACAUGAUAUGAGGGUGUUCAAUAAUGCUCUAACAAAAUAUGCCACUAUUUUUCCACAUCCUCCACCAGGUAAAUAUUAUCUUGUUGACUCAAAAUACCCUAAUCGAUCUGGAUAUCUAACACCAUACAAAGGAACAAAAUAUCAUUUACCUGAGUAUCGAGCGGGUCCCCGACCUAGCGGAAAAAAGGAGACAUUUAACUAUUUGCAUUCAUCUAUGCGUAAUGUGAUUGAACACUCAUUUGGUGUUUUGAAGAUGAAGUGGAGAAUUCUGUUACACCUACCCAGUUAUCCUAUGGCCAAACAAUCCAAAAUAAUACAUGCAUGUAUGGCUCUUCAUAAUUUUAUUCGUGACAGUUCUUUGGCAGAUAAAGAAUUUGACCGUUGUGAUGAAGAUGAAGAUUAUAUGCCAAUGCCAUCAUCUCAGCCUAGUACUAGUCAAUUUGGGGAUGAAGAAAGUGACAUGAAUGCCUUCCGUGAUAAUAUUGCUAAUGCAAUAUUUGCCAAUGUCAAUUGAAUUAUUUUUUUCAAAUUAUUUAUGUAAUAAAUUAUGAAUACUCAGAAACGUUUGUUA
Zea mays is the source of this 1049-nucleotide long non-coding RNA. RefSeq lists it as uncharacterized. The record is from RefSeq and is a predicted model, not a curated record. The transcript is spliced from 2 exons. Lineage: Eukaryota; Viridiplantae; Streptophyta; Magnoliopsida; Poales; Poaceae.